Molecule: long non-coding RNA, 246 nt
Filed under: Stegodyphus dumicola
Lineage: Eukaryota; Metazoa; Arthropoda; Arachnida; Araneae; Eresidae
Description: uncharacterized LOC118203510
Source: RNAcentral
ACCCCGUGUUUAUGAUUUCGUAGUAAGUUAAUUCCGAAGUAAAAUAUGCGUAUUUUUUUUAUUGAAGGUCAGAAAUUAUUGAUACAACUGCAUCUGUGUCAAAGGAGAAUCAUUGCCCGGAUGAUUUUUUUACAAAGUCCGGAAGUGAAAAAUUUGACUUUUCUACGCCAGAAGUUACAGCUAAUGUUCCUAAGACAAACCAGGCUUUCCUGAGUUCUGAUCUGGACAUUUCAGUUAUUGACUCUC